AUGGCCCCUCUGGGGCACAUUCCAUCCUUUCAGCCUGUAACCAGCAGAGAAAAAAAAUUGCAUAUUUUAUUGUCCUGUACAAACCUUGAGGCAAGCAAAAAAAUUAAAAUAAAUUUUAACCAUGAGGGAAAUCUGCACAUCCAGGCUGGUCAGUGUGGCAAUCAGAUUAGUGCCAAGUUCUGGGAUGUGAUCAGUGAUGAUCGUGGCAUUGAGCCCACCGGCACCUAACAUGAGGACAGCACCUGUAGCUGGACUGCAUCUCCAAGUACUACAAUGAAGCCACAGAUGCCAGAUAUGUUCCUCAUGCUAUCCUGGUGGAUGUAGAACCUGGGACCAGGGACUCUGCUAGCUCAGGCCCUUUUGGCCAGAUGUUUAGAUCAGACAUCUUUGUUUUUGGUUAGUCUGGGACAGGCAACAACUGGGCCAAAGGACACUACAUAGAGGGGGCCAAGCUGGUUGAUUCAGUCCUAGAUGUGGUGCAGAAGGAGACUGAGAGCUGUGACUGCCUGCAGGGCUUCCAGCUGACCCACUCACUGGGCAGGGGCACAGGCUCUGGAAUGGGCACUCUCCUUAUCAGCAAGAUCCGAGAAGAGCACCCUGAUUGCAUUAUGAACACCUUCAGUGUGGUGCCUUCACCCAAAGUGUCUGACACUGUGGUCGAGCCCUACAAUACUACCCUCUCCGUCCAUCAGUUGGUAGAGAACACUGAUGAGCCUACUGCAUUGAUAACAAGGCCGUCUAUGACAUCUGUUUCCACACUUUGAAGCUGACCAUGCCAACCUAUGGGGACCUGAACCACCUUGUCUCAGCCACCAUAAAUGGUGUUACUACCUGCCUCCGCUUACCUGGCCAGCUCAGUGCUGAGCUCUGCAAGUUGGCAGUCAACCUGGUGCCCUUCCCAUGUCUCCACUAUUUCAUGCCUGGCUUUCCCCUCUCACCAGCCGUGGAAAUCAGCAGUAUCAAGCUCUCAUAGUGUCCGAACUCACCCAGCAGGUCUUCAAUGCCAAGAACAUGAUGGCUGCCUGUGACCCGUGCCACGGCUUAUAUCUCAUUGUGGCGCUGUCUUCAUGGAUGGAUGUCUAUGAAAGAGGUUGAUGAGCAGAUGCUCAACGUGCAGAACUAGAACAGCAGCUAAUUGUGGAAAGGAUCCCCAACAACAUUAAGACAGCUGUCUGUGACAUCUCACCCCAUGACCUCAAGAUGGCAGUCACCUUCCUCGGCAACAGCACGGCCAUCCAGAAGCUCUUCAGGCGAACCUGGAGCAGUUCACUGCCAUGAUCUGCUGGAAGACCUUCCUCCACUGGUACACAGGCAAGGGCAUGGAUGAGAUGGGAGUUCACUGAGGCUGAGAGCAACAUGAACGACCUCGUUUCUGAGUAUUAGCAGUACCAGGAUGCCACCACAGAAGAGGAGGAGGAUUUCUGUGAGGAGGCUGAAGAGGAGGCCUAAGACAGAGCCCCCAUCACUUCAGGCUUCUGAGUUCCCUUAGCCAUCUUCCUUACCUGCCCCUUUCCUCUCCCUCAGAAUUUGUGUUUGCGGCCUCAAUCUUGUUUUCCAUUUUUUUCUUUUCUUUUGGGGGAUGUAGAACAGUGCCUGGCACACAGUAGGUACUCAAUAAAUACUUGUUUGUGGAAUGUUUCCUUUCUCUUUCCACCCUGGGAAGCCUAGGUUACUGCCAUUCUGGGUGACCCUGUAUUUCCUUCCAGUGCCCAUCCCUUUCAUCUGUCCAGUUAAUAUUUCCCUUUUUCAAAAUCUGCAAGAAGCUGGGUCUCAUCCAGAUCUCAUUGAGAACCAACUGGGUUUUGAAAGCCCAUGUAGAUAAUGGCCACCAGCCUAAGCCCAAAGCUGAGGAUGGUAGAAGAUGGCAGGUAGAAGUCACCGCAAGGAAGGGGAUGGGAUUUUCCAUCCUAAAAGUUUUGAGAGGGAAAUCCAGGCUAUUCAAGUCAUAAUUUCCAGGUAUUUUCAUUUUCCAUUUCUCAGCUUCAAGGGAGGUGUUAGCAGUAUUUUCUCCAUUUCCAAUCUUUCUCCAAGCUCUACCCUUUGGAGAGGUCUGCCUCACUCUGUCAAAUAGAAUCUUUCCCUCUCUGACUCUACCUCCCUCACACAUUGAAUUCCUCCCUUUCUCCUGAUCAGAGAAGGGGAUCAAGUGGGGAAAGAGAACUAGACUUGGUCCCUAGGCCUCCAGAAAUGUCCCCAAUCCCCACCUUUUCUUAACCCCCAGAAAAAAUUAACAUCCUUGACUCUAUGUGAAUGGUGUAUACUCCCACAUCAGUGUUUGAGUCAUUAUCCAGCGGAGAGGGCAACCCUCCUCCGUCUUUUUUGCAACAUCUCAUAUCUUCCUUUUGCUGUUGCUUUUUCCCCCCCUUACGCUUAGUUUUGUUCUAUCCUCCACUUCAGAUUUCUAUUUUGUGUUGAACUUGCUGCUUUUUUCAUAUUGAAAAAGUGACAUUGCACCAAGAACCAAAAAUAAAUGGGAAUUGGGAAAAAAAAAAA
This is an RNA transcript of Sapajus apella (tufted capuchin), 2493 nucleotides long. It is a transcript of the gene named tubulin beta-7 chain pseudogene, with no coding region annotated. The transcript has 2 exons. Lineage: Eukaryota; Metazoa; Chordata; Mammalia; Primates; Cebidae. The record is from RefSeq and is a predicted model, not a curated record.